RNAcentral lists this ribosomal RNA (420 nucleotides) under uncultured bacterium. Its description in RNAcentral is "bacterial SSU rRNA". It matches the Rfam family "Bacterial small subunit ribosomal RNA", at positions 356 to 773 of the family's 1533-position model. The record is from RNAcentral.
AAGGAAUAUUGGUCAAUGGACGAAAGUCUGAACCAGCCAUGCCGCGUGGAGGAUGAAGGUCCUCUGGAUUGUAAACUUCUUUUAUAUGGGACGAAAAAAGGGUUUUCUAACUCGUCUGACGGUACCAUAUGAAUAAGCACCGGCUAACUCCGUGCCAGCAGCCGCGGUAAUACGGAGGGUGCAAGCGUUAUCCGGAUUCACUGGGUUUAAAGGGUGCGUAGGUGGGUUGGUAAGUCAGUGGUGAAAUCUCCGAGCUUAACUUGGAAACUGCCAUUGAUACUAUCAGUCUUGAAUAUUGUGGAGGUCAGCGGAAUAUGUCAUGUAGCGGUGAAAUGCUUAGAUAUGACAUAGAACACCAAUUGCGAAGGCAGCUGGCUACACAUCUAUUGACACUGAGGCACGAAAGCGUGGGGAUCAAAC